AUACGGAGGGUGCGAGCGUUGAUCGGAAUUACUGGGCGUAAAGCGUGCGUAGGCGGUUUGCUAAGUCAGAUGUGAAAGCCCCGGGCUUAACCUGGGAACUGCAUUUGAUACUGGCAGACUAGAGUAUGAUAGAGGGGGGUAGAAUUCCUGGUGUAGCGGUGAAAUGCGUAGAUAUCAGGAGGAAUACCAGUGGCGAAGGCGGCCCCCUGGAUCAAUACUGACGCUGAGGUACGAAAGCGUGGGGAGCGAACAGGAUUAGAAACCCUAGUAGUCC
RNAcentral lists this ribosomal RNA (274 nucleotides) under uncultured bacterium. RNAcentral describes it as "partial 16S ribosomal RNA". It matches the Rfam family "Bacterial small subunit ribosomal RNA", at positions 523 to 796 of the family's 1533-position model. The record is from RNAcentral.